Mya arenaria is the source of this 857-nucleotide long non-coding RNA. RefSeq lists it as uncharacterized. Lineage: Eukaryota; Metazoa; Mollusca; Bivalvia; Myida; Myidae. The record is from RefSeq and is a predicted model, not a curated record. The transcript is spliced from 3 exons.
CGAGAUCAUUUCAUUGUUUUAAAUCUUAUUAUCUUUUAAUAUCAAAAAAAAUAUUCUUAAACUUUUGUGUGUGUAUAUUUGUGUAUCCAUAAAAAUAGCUAUUAAGGCGACCAGGGAAAAAAUCAUAAUUUUGGUCAAAAAUAGCUAUAUACUAAGCAUUUUUUAUUUGUUUUACUUUAUUUAAAGCCUAUUGUAUAUUAUCCCGAAGUUUCAUUCCAUAAAAAACAGAAAUAAGGAAAUUCGAUAUUUCGUGUACCAUCAGCAUCCAAAUUUUCAAGUAUACAGAAAUUUAACUUUCCGGAAUAUAACGGAAAUUUUCGGGUAUCUCCGUGGUACCAUCUCCGUGCAAUUAUGCAGUAUGGCGUUCAUCUCUUACGGAAAGAGAAUGGUAACUUGGUAAGUGUUUAAAAUACAUAUUCAACGUUUUUUUUCGUUUAUUUUUAUGACUUUUGUACAGUAGUAUAAAUCGUCCACCCUUUGGAUGAAAAGCAAAUGAUUUAUCCGGAUUUUGUUCAUCCGAAACUAAAUCACUAGUAUCAACAUCCGGUGUAAUUUUUGCUUGUAUUUUGGAGAAACUCGAUUGAUUUCUAGCAAACUUGGUUUACCACUACAUCGUCGCUUAUUAUUAUUUGUUGCUGCUUGGGACAAUAAAGUUAAGUCAGCAACCGUCUACCAGACUGCAAGAUUCAUCUCUUCCAAAGGAUGUCGUACCUUUCUAGAUACACUGUGUUUUGUGUGGAUAAGAAAUGCAGAGUGGUACCACCAAUCACCUAAGCCACCAUUCCCCUAACAGACAAUAGGCUCAUGGGGACAGUUCCUGCAAUUUACAGAAAAGUUCUCAAUUGUAGCCCUACGAA